UUAUGGAAGCACUCCGAUGAUACGACGCGGAUGUGGACAGCUGCAAAAUCUUUGAACAGAAUUGUUUAUUAGUGCCUUUCAUCGAUUGCGCAAAUUAUCCUGAGGAUUUGUUUCACGGUGAAGAAAAUGCAUCUAGUUAAUUUUUAAUAAACCAUUGAAGAAAAAGUAAAAUCGAAUAUCAGGUUUUGAAUAUGUAGCCAAAGUGGUGAAAAUGUCAACUUCCCGAAAUAUAGUGGUUUAUUCAACCGUUUCCAUCAGUUUUUCGUUCUGGACAAUACAGCCCACAAAAAAACGUAAACAUACAAACCGGAAUGUUUAACGACUCGGCGGGAAUAUAUAUUACAAAAAUAAUCUCGAGGCAAAAUGGUGAGAUCUCUCAUCGUAUCGGUAACAAAAUGAAGAUAUUGUUCAAAUCGAACUCAGAUAUUGGCCGAGAAUAAAUUUUAAUCCCCUGCUAAGUAUGCCGAGAAUUGUCUGCCUCGACUUCAAUGACACGUCAGAGAAUUGCUAAAUCUCACAAGCUAAUGAUUGGGCCCAGAAUACAUAUUGACGGUACGAGCAGUAGGCUUACAGCACACGCAUUAAGUGCAACAUUGUAGCAGCAGAUUUCUAGCGAUGUAUAUUAAAAAAACUGUUCUUCUAGAGGUAUAUAAACGCUUUACAUCGACAUGGUAUGCAUCUUAACGUGGACCAGUAACGAAAACAUCUUUGUGCGGAUUUGAGCCAGCGACACUGACCUUAAGAGCAGUAGGCCUGCAUCAAGCAGACCGUCUAUCACUUGGUUGGUUCAAUAAACCAUCUACCACGAGCCACUUUCCUUUCGUAAGUCGCGCCCGUUCAUCAUUGAAGUCGAGAGCUUCGCCGGAAGUGAAAUACGAGAUAUUGGAACUUCGUAGUACGUCUUUCAUUCUCCACCUUGGUCACGCAAUAUAAUCUCCGUUGCUGUCAUAAUACCAUUGGAAUUUACUGCAAGAGUCUGGCCACAACACAACUAGAUUCUUCAUACAAAGCGAUGCUGAUAACGACUUGACACUGUACUGUAGAAAGCAGUCGGCCGAUUGACCUGUUGGUUGGAAUUGUGGUUCAGCGGAUUCUUAAUUUCUGGUUUGUAUAUCCUCAGUAUAGACACCGCAGCAUCACCUGUCCACCCACAAGGACCUACAAUCUGGAACGAGUACCCGAUACAUCAAGGUCACUUGGUUCUACUCGCUAAAAAGCUGUACGUUAUAAUUAAAAUGUACGACAACCCGUUAUCAAGGCGUCCGCAGUCUAGAAAAUACUUUUUUGUCAAUAAAUAAAAAUAUGCAUUUUAA
Molecule: long non-coding RNA, 1313 nt
Organism: Topomyia yanbarensis
Lineage: Eukaryota; Metazoa; Arthropoda; Insecta; Diptera; Culicidae
Exons: 5
Source: RefSeq, a predicted model, not a curated record